Molecule: long non-coding RNA, 216 nt
Filed under: Salvia miltiorrhiza (redroot sage)
Lineage: Eukaryota; Viridiplantae; Streptophyta; Magnoliopsida; Lamiales; Lamiaceae
Description: long non-coding RNA (SMIL_LNC001130)
Source: RNAcentral
UUUUUUUUNAAGUUUAUUAUAGCUGGCAAAUCCCACUGUUUUAAUAAAUCCACGUCACAGUUUCCGGCGUUCCACAUCAUCUUCCGGGCGCCGGAAAAUUUUUAGGGGACACAAUUGAAAAAAUGUUGUUAGGUUGGGUACCGAUUAGAUAUUAUCGAUAAGUUGGGACAUAAUCGAUAAUUCGGCCAAACGAUGGGACAUAAAGUGAUAUUUACC